RNAcentral lists this ribosomal RNA (383 nucleotides) under Strombidium sp. RNAcentral's name for it is "partial small subunit ribosomal RNA". It matches the Rfam family "Eukaryotic small subunit ribosomal RNA", at positions 582 to 975 of the family's 1831-position model. The record is from RNAcentral. Lineage: Eukaryota; Ciliophora; Spirotrichea; Strombidiidae.
AUUCCAGCUCCAAUAGCGUAUAUUAAAGUUGUUGCAGUUAAAAAGCUCGUAGUUGGAUUUCUGGGAGGGUGCCAAUGUCCGUCGUCGUACGUGUUGCAGCGGCGCCCUUCCAUCCUUCUGUUAACGACUUUGGGCAUUCACUUGCCGGAGUCGGGCUCAGAUAUUUUACCUUGAGAAAAUUAGAGUGUUUCAGGCAGGCUAGGCCGGAAUACAUUAGCAUGGAAUAAUGGAAUAGGACUACGGUCUCUUUGUUGGUUUGAGGGACUGCAGUAAUGAUUAAUAGGGAUAGUUGGGGGUAUUCGUAUUUAAUUGUCAGAGGUGAAAUUCUUGGAUUUAUGAAAGACGAACUUCUGCGAAAGCAUUUGCCAAGGAUGUUUUCAUUA